UACGGAGGGUGCAAGCGUUGUCCGGAAUUAUUGGGCGUAAAGAGCUCGUAGGCGGCCUGUCGCGUCGGCUGUGAAAACCCGGGGCUCAACCCCGGGCCUGCAGUCGAUACGGGCAGGCUAGAGUCCGGCAGGGGAGACUGGAAUUCCUGGUGUAGCGGUGAAAUGCGCAGAUAUCAGGAGGAACACCGGUGGCGAAGGCGGGUCUCUGGGCCGGAACUGACGCUGAGGAGCGAAAGCGUGGGGAGCGAACAGG
RNAcentral lists this ribosomal RNA (253 nucleotides) under uncultured bacterium. RNAcentral's name for it is "partial 16S ribosomal RNA". It matches the Rfam family "Bacterial small subunit ribosomal RNA", at positions 524 to 776 of the family's 1533-position model. The record is from RNAcentral.